RNA transcript from Cryptotermes secundus, 3906 nucleotides. It is a transcript of the gene named protein sister of odd and bowel, with no coding region annotated. NCBI's taxonomy places the organism in Eukaryota, Metazoa, Arthropoda, Insecta, Blattodea, Kalotermitidae. The record is from RefSeq and is a predicted model, not a curated record. The transcript has 8 exons.
GAAACGUAUCACCAACCGCGAUCUCGUAUGUCUUUCAGCCAACACGGCCACCACGGACGUUAAUUGCCAAACACGGAUCUUCGCUCCCGAUCAACUCGAUGUCACCAACUCCAACGCCUCCAACGUCACCAACUCCAUGCCACUCGAUCACACAACCAUUGUAUCGAUUUUUACGAAUCGAUUGUAAAAGAGCGUCGACGUCACAGUUCUCAAUAAAAUUUGUCGAUGCAAUUUCAACAAGAAGGAAAUGUUUUUUUCUUUUGGAGUAUUUUAAUGAUAAUUAAUCUCAUCAAGUGCUGUGUUAGCUUUAAGCCAGUUUUAAGGCAAUGGCAGGGUACAGAAGGGUGAAUUAUUACGAACUUUGUCGUCUUUGUACAUCAAGUGAAGGUACCAAAAUGCACAUAUUCCGCGAAGAGGGACGUCGAAGGCAACUCCCAACAAAAAUUCAGAUCUGUCUACCACUUCAGGUAUGUGAAGAUGAUUCAUUGCCCAAGAUUAUCUGCAGUCAUUGCGUGGACAAAUUGGAAAGUUUUUAUGACUUUCGGGAAUCCUGUGUCAAUGCGGAAGCUAUGUUGGAGAGCUAUUUCACAUCUCUUCGCUUUUCAGAUGACUUCACACGUGAAGGAAAGGUAUAUGUGAAGGAUGAGAGUCCACCGAAGAAAAAGGCAACUACAUCUGUGGCUGUUGCAACAACAGCCAACUCUGAUGUAGAGAAACACGAGCACAACAAGGCUGGAGCGCCUCUGACGGCUGCCACAGAUGGUUUAAACAGUCUAGUCCAGGCAGCUGGUAUUCAGAUUGUGAGUGAUGCAGAUGGAACCAGAGUUCAGCAAUAUAAAUGUGCCAUGCAGAUGCAGCCUGGAUCUGCAGGACCCACAGUAGUGGAGGCAGCAGCCACAGAGGCAUGCUACAGCUAUGAGUGCACUACUGCUAGCACACGCACCACUGACACAAACCCAGUUGUUGCACAAGUAACAGCAAAGGUGGAAGAUGGAAGCACCCAGUGCAGCGAGACAGACUUUGCAAACAAGGUUAUAUCUGCUAGGCAUCAUCAGUCACCAGAGAACAGUGAGGAAAGUGAUAUGUCUGCUCAGCAGCAGCAGCAUGCAGCUGCGGCAGUAGCUUUCACCACAGCAGGACCAGGCCAGGAGAUGCUAGUACAUUUCAAUUUCAACAAAGACAGAGAGGGACUUUUCCGAUCUGAUGAUCACACAGCUCUGCAGAGAUCCUCAAUAGCUCAGAUUGGCGAAUUUCUGCGUAUGAAGAGUGUUAAUAUCAUCGAUGGGACUUCUGGUCCUACAGCAACACUAGUUGAAGUUGCUGCAGCUCCAAAUACUCCUCGGCAUUGUGAACGUUGUGGCAAAAUUUUUGCUUCCCUUGAAGAACUUCAUUCACAUUCACCUUGUAAUUGCACGACAAAUCAUGAAUCAGAGAACACUGUUGCAGACAGGAACACUGGAAAUACGGCAGGCAGUGGUGGUAGCUUUGGUUGCGAGAUCUGUGGUAAGCCAUUCAAGAGAAAAGAGCAUCUAUUUCAACACAGGAAACUGCACACUGGUGAAAGGCCGUAUGUAUGUGUGUCAUGCGGUAAGGCAUUCAGUCGCAAAGAACAUCUGGUCCGACAUGCUGUAUCACACACGGGACAGAAGAUGCACGGUUGUGACCUAUGUGGAAAAACUUUUAGUCGAAAGGACAAUUUACACAAACAUCGCAAAACUCAUGGUAUAGCUGGGCCAUAUAUUUGUGAAACAUGUGGUAAGUCUUUCGUUGUGAAACACUAUUACCUGAUGCAUCGAGGAAGUCAUGCCACUCCUGGCUCGUCCAUGGCAAACAGCGAUGGAACUGGUGAAGGUAAUGGUGGCACUGUAACAGCUGAAAAUCCCCUCCCAUACAAAUGUGACAUUUGCAAUAAGGGAUUUGCAAUGAAGCAGUAUCUUAUUACACACAAACAGAGACAUCGAAAUAAGAACCAGCAGCAGUUACAGGGUGGGCAGGCUGCAACAAAUACACCAAAUCUUGGACAGUCGCAGAGUAAUCAAGUCAAAGUGGAGGAUGUUGGUACUAGUGAAGCCCAUGUGACUGGAGCUCUUAGUCACAAUAAUGUUCCACUGACAACAAUUAACAACACUGCUCUUCUCACACCAAGCAUCUUGCAACAUGUGACAACACAACCAAAUGCUGGGACUCCUGCUGGAAGUAACUCUGCUACGGCAGCCAUGAUUCAGGUGUCUUCUUCUGCUGCCACAGCCUACCUCUGUGCACCAACAACAGUAGCUGCUAAUGAAUUGCUCGAAACCUAUAGGCGGUUGCAUUCUGCAUGAUAGUGGGUAGUAAGGGUGGAGCUAACAGUGACUUAUUGCUCCAUUUCAGUGGAAUUGGUUUCAUAUUUGUUGGUUUUCAUAAAGAUUCUCUUCUUACCCUGACAGUACUGCUGGACAUGUAUGGUAAUAUAACAGGCAUUACAACUUCUUGAGCUGAUGCAGUUCAUCUUGUAGCCGAGCUUAUUGCUGUCCUCAGUUCCUUUGGCAUAUCAGCACCUCUUACAACCAUUUUAACUUAUUUUGGAGUCAUGAUGGAUAUAAAUAACAUAUAUUUAUGGAUAAAAUUUGAGCACCAAGAGCACAGCUGAUUCUUUACAGUCACAACCAUGGAUCAAUAGCAAUGUGUGCGGAUAUACUAGGAAGGUGGGAUAUCUGAUUCUCCCCACAUGUUACGUUAUGUAUUUCUCUGCUCGUGUUAAAAAAGGGAAUAAAAACUUUUACAGACAGGUUAUUCGUUAUAGAAGAAAUGAAAUUUGUUAAGUGAAAAACAAAUAUGAAUUAACAUGCAUUGUUGUAGCAAAAAUUUGCAUAUUGAGUCUUCAUAAAAUGAGGGACAUGUGUACAUGAUAUGAGAAAGUACUGUGAUCAUGAAACCCUAGAUCUGUCGCAUCACUAAUUAUAUGACCAGUUGCAAGAGCAUGCCAAGAGUUCAAUAAUGAAAAAAAGUCUUCACCAUAUGUUGCCCCAAGUUGUAACAGAAUCCCAUCUAUCUUGCAGAACAACGGUGAUAACAGGGAAGUGAUACUUCUGGGUGAUAUCCCCUAUAUAAGCAGGCAGAAAAUCUCCACUGAAGUGAAUCAAGUACCCCUAAGACCAGUGUUGUGGGUGCAAAUGAUGGACCGUGUCUUGGACGCUCAUGCACACAGACAUUUGCAGUCCAAUGUAGUUCCCUCACCUGAAGUAUUAUCUGUUGAUAAUUCAACCUAAUAUGGGUCUUGAUAUGAUCAGCCUUGUAUUUAAGAAAAAACAAACUUGUGAGAGUUGAGGUGUUGGUAGUAUCCCAUGUUGGUUGGAAUGUCCCUGAUCCUCUGGUUGUGAGAUUCACCUCACAGUUGGUAGCUAAUGAUGCACUAUUGAGGACAUCCAUAAUAUUUGGUGGAGUAACCUCCUCUCUCCUUACCCAAGACUCCAGGUGCCUAAGUGUCAGGGCAUGCUUCAUAUAUUGUCUUAGUAAUGGAUAAUUUAUCCCUUAGUUCAGUUAAUACCCGAUGCCUUGCACAUGGACGCUUCAUGAAGAGCAGGUCUUCACACUCAUCUAGGGUAAUGGGUAGGGAUAAGUGACUAUCGGGUGGUGUCGCACUGUCGUCUUCCAUUCUGUGCUGCAGUGGUAUUUUUUAUCUUUUUCUAAAUAAUCCAUAACUACAAUGCUUAACAUACCUUAUCCCAUACUUAACAAAAUAAACUCAAACAUUGUAUAUUUAUAUACAAUAUAUAUAUAAAGAAAUACUUGGAAAAAAAAAGUAUGUGUGUGUGUGUGUAGCUUUUUAGAAGCAGAACCGUUGGACAGACUUUAUUUAUACACUGAUAUAUUGGGUUUUUGGACUUUAGCCAUCGUCCUGGUUUUUAAGAUAACUAAUAAAAACAC